Molecule: ribosomal RNA, 335 nt
Filed under: uncultured eukaryote
Lineage: Eukaryota
Description: partial 18S ribosomal RNA
Rfam family: Eukaryotic small subunit ribosomal RNA
Source: RNAcentral
CCCUUAGAUGUCCGGGGCUGCACGCGCGCUACACUGUAGAAAGCAGCGUGCUUUAAAACCUUUCCUGAAAAGGAUGGGUAACCCCAGCAAAAUUCUACGUGCUUGGGAUAGAGAUUUGCAAUUUUCUCUCUUGAACGAGGAAUUCCCAGUAAGUGCGAGUCAUCAGCUCGCGUCGAUUACGUCCCUGCCCUUUGUACACACCGCCCGUCGCUACUACCGAUCGGAUGGUUUAGUGAGACCCUCGGACUGGUCCCGUCGAAGCAGGCGACUGCCUCGACGCGCGCGCCGGGAAGAAGGUCGAACUUGACUAUCUAGAGGAAGUAAAAGUCGUAACA